Molecule: small nuclear RNA, 124 nt
Filed under: Anabas testudineus (climbing perch)
Lineage: Eukaryota; Metazoa; Chordata; Actinopteri; Anabantiformes; Anabantidae
Description: U1 spliceosomal RNA (ENSATEG00000027961.1)
Rfam family: U1 spliceosomal RNA
About the family: U1 is a small nuclear RNA (snRNA) component of the spliceosome (involved in pre-mRNA splicing). Its 5' end forms complementary base pairs with the 5' splice junction, thus defining the 5' donor site of an intron.
Source: Rfam by way of RNAcentral
AUACUUACGUGGCAGGGGAGAUGCCGUGAUCAAGAAGGUGGUUCACCCAGGGUGAGGCUCUGGGAAUGGGAAUCUCGACUGCAUAAUUUAUGGUUGUAGGCGAAUCUGUUCGCACUCUCCCCUG